UAGAUGUAAGUUCUGCACUCAGUGAA
Molecule: non-coding RNA, 26 nt
Filed under: Mus musculus (house mouse)
Lineage: Eukaryota; Metazoa; Chordata; Mammalia; Rodentia; Muridae
Source: RNAcentral